GACGCCUUUGCUGGGGCUUGACCACCUCUGUGAAGCCCACAGGUGGUGAAUGAAGUGGGUGUAGUGUAUGAUCAUGUCAUUAGGGGUCACUGCUACCGAGUCAGUGACCUCUUUCCAUGUGCGGUCCUGUGGAAUGGUAGGCCCUUCUCUGCAGUGGCCUUGGGUCCUUAAAUUUUAUCAGGCCUUGUGGACAGAAGUCCUCAACUUGAUGAGAAGGUAAUUGCCUGUAAUCCCGGUGCUUGGGAGGUAGAGACGGGAGGAUAGAGUCUCAAGUCAUCUUUGACUAUGUAAUGAAUUCCAGGCCAGCCUGGAUUACACAAGAUCCUGUUUCAACAAACAAAUAAACAGAGCGAAAGUCUUUGAGUACUCUACUACUUCUUCCGGAAAGAACAAGCAGACUUUCCACGAGCAAAAGGGUUCCUGGCGUCCUUCAGUACCAGGCUGUGAAGGUCACUUCCUGUCAGAGACCGGGCAGAACUGGAAUCCAUUGGCAUCUCCUCAGAGAGAAUGCUGACUCUAAGCUAUAUCCCCAUCCCGAUACCAUCAGAUUGGGGCGUCUGGAGCCUUGAGACAUGAAGUAUGACAUAUGUCGAUUGUCGGCGAUGCUUUGUCCGUCAUUCCAUCAUACACCGUGUGGUCUUUUCACUGUCGUCAGGAUAAUACUGCCCAAAACAGGAACUGUUCCUUCAGCUUGGGGGUCCAGGAUGAGAGCAUCCAGGAACA
Molecule: long non-coding RNA, 723 nt
Organism: Microtus oregoni (creeping vole)
Lineage: Eukaryota; Metazoa; Chordata; Mammalia; Rodentia; Cricetidae
Exons: 3
Source: RefSeq, a predicted model, not a curated record